Homarus americanus (American lobster) is the source of this 1353-nucleotide long non-coding RNA. RefSeq lists it as uncharacterized. The record is from RefSeq and is a predicted model, not a curated record. The transcript has 3 exons. Lineage: Eukaryota; Metazoa; Arthropoda; Malacostraca; Decapoda; Nephropidae.
GCAAACAUCUUCAACUGGGGGGAGACUUGAGCAGUUUGUAACCUCAGUAGUCACAUUUUCCGUUGAGUCGACAAAGACAAUGAGCGAGCAGUGAACAUCUACCGUGUUAAGAGUGUCGUGGCAGUGUUUGUUUCUGAGUGUCACCAGAAGGCCAUAAGUGUACUGUACUAAGGUUAUGUAACUGAGUGUUGUUUGUAAUUGUGACAUAUUUUGGAUGUAUUUGCUUUGAUUUCAAUUGGAAGUGUUUUAGUUCUCAGUUGACAUCAGUUUUGACAAGUUAAUUUAUUUGUAUAACGCGAGUUGUGUUAUAUGUACGAGUAUAUUGUAUUUUGUGUUGUUUCUACUAGUUUAUGAUUUUAAUGCCAAGGGCAUUAGUUCUAGCAGUCUAGACCUACAGGCAUGGUCAGUAAGUGUGUUUUAUGUUUAUUUGAGAUCUAAUACAUGUAUAAUUUCAGCAAUUGCUUUGAUGGGUUGAGGACUCUGUGGUGAUAUGGACAUCUGUGAAAGAACGCAAUCUUUGUAAUUGAUUGUUGAAAAUACAUACAAUGAGCGAGCAGUGAACAUCUGCCGUGUUAAGAGUGUCGUGGCAGUGUUUGUUUCUGAGUGUCACCAGAAGGCCAUAAGUGUACUAAGGUUAUGUAACUGAGUGUUAUUUGUAAUUGUGACAUAUUUUGGAUGUAUUUGCUUUGAUUUCAAUUGGAAGUGUUUUAGUUCUCAGUUGACAUCAGUUUUGACAAGUGAAUUUAUUUGUCUAACGCAAGUUGUGUUAUAUGUACGAGUAUAUUGUAUUUUGUGUUGUUUCUACUAGUUUAUGAUUUUAAUGCCAAGGGCAUUAGUUCUAGCAGUCUAGACCUACAGGCAUGGUCAGUAAGUUUGUUUUAUGUUUAUUUGAGAUCUAAUACAUGUAUAAUUUCAGCAAUUGCUUUGAUGGGUUGAGGACUCUGUGGUGAUACCGAUCACAGCAACGGUCGUGAGCCCCAGUGUCCUACCCUGGGACGCAUUCCUGGCAUCUAUGGCCCACAGUGUUUGAUGUAUAUGUUUGGAGAAAAUUAAUUGGAAAUAAUUAUCCCAUGUUGGGUAGUGGACCCAUGUAUGAGUUGGUUUCAGUGAGUGAAGUAUCAUCUGUAAGUUUGUCAUGUAUGUAAUGAAAUGUAUCACCAGUAACGUGGGUGAAGUAAGUACCCACUGGGAUUGGCAAUUGAGAGAAGCCAGGAGUUGUCAUGUAACUAUGUACUGUAAUGUAACACCAGUGAGGUUAUGUGUAGUAAGAGUACAGGAUCUGAGUAAGUGCAGUGGAGUAGGCCGAGGAGUUGCACCUUGGAGUGGUAUGUUAAUAAUAUAUUUUUCCCUUUG